Oncorhynchus mykiss (rainbow trout) is the source of this 377-nucleotide non-coding RNA. Lineage: Eukaryota; Metazoa; Chordata; Actinopteri; Salmoniformes; Salmonidae. The record is from RefSeq and is a predicted model, not a curated record.
GAAGGGGCUAUGACACAGAUUGUCUUCCAGGAAGUAAGGCCCCUUAACUAGGUCUUUCCUUAAGUCCGCUCUGCACAGGACUCUGUGAAACACAGAGCAGAGAGAAACGCUUUAGCAGGUGUACUGUAUGUCCUGGGAUGGCAUUAGGACACGUAUCUGGUGCUGUGAAACACAGAGCAGAGAGAAACCUUUUAGCAGGUGUACUGUAUGUCCUGGGAUGGCAUUAGGACACAUAUCUGGUGCUGUUUUCAGCCUCGGAAACACGUUGUUUACCUGUUUACCCAUAGAGAUACAGACCGUCACAACAGAUCCUUUAAAUACCCGUAGAGAUACAGACCCAUAGAGAUACAGACCCAUAGAGAUACAGACCCGUAGAG